Molecule: long non-coding RNA, 742 nt
Organism: Daktulosphaira vitifoliae (grape phylloxera)
Lineage: Eukaryota; Metazoa; Arthropoda; Insecta; Hemiptera; Phylloxeridae
Exons: 3
Source: RefSeq, a predicted model, not a curated record
GCCCAUACCGAGAAGUAGCUUUUAGUUUUCCAGUGAAUACGCUCGACAAUUCAUUGCCAUAAAUCGCACAGCCGCCACACAAUCUGGUUCAAUCAAUACAUUUAUACGUUUUCGAUUGUUCAAGACAUUGAUCCUCGAGAUGUCGUUUCGUAUAACACACGAGUAUACGGAGAAGAGAUACAUAAAGUCAACCAAUCGUUUAGUUUUCAGUGCAAUACACAUAAACAAACGAUUUUCGGCUAUUUAUUUUUUACUCUCAUGUUUGAUGUAGUAAAUUGACAUAGUAACGCCGAUGCGAAUUCUUCGAAACAAAGACCCUAAUCGUUUGCAUUUAGUGCAUACUAUUGAUAAAAUAAUAAAAUUAUGUAAGUCAGAUGACCAAAUUCGGAAAAGAAGAACAAACGAUAUUCAAUGUACUCGCUUCGCACAAUGGAAAACUCUUAUAAUUUCCCCUGGUGUUCUUUUCCAUUCUUCAGUUUAUACACUUUAUGGUCAGCACCACGUGCAGUCGACCGACUAAAAUAUAAUAUUAUUCAAUAAGUGUUUCUCGGUAUAUGUCACCAUACCAUUUCCUAUUGACAUAUCUCGGUCAAUGAGACGUCCUUGUAGUCAGAUUCAAGAGCUCAUAAAAUUCAGCUUUAAUUAUGGGCUUCGGUCAUUUUUUUUUAAGUGGAUGUUAAAGACUACUUACUGAUUUUAGUAAGUGAUAUAUUUUUUUUUAAUUUCAUUAUCUUUUCGUCUG